UUUGAAGAGUUAUGGUUUGGGACUCCCUCUCUUCAGCUUGGUACAUCUGCUGCUUAGUAAUUGACACAACAUGAAUUAUACCUUAUAGGGUUCCUACAAGUUCAAAGCAGCCAUCUUGGUACAAAAACAGGCCUGGUUACAAAUGCACACUGACACUACAAACAUCUCUGCUCUGCUUCUCCGCCGCAUUUAAUGCAAGGUUCUCCGCCAGCUUACAGGUGCAAGUCCUGGCGUUGGCGCUUCAGACCAUGUUCUUUUGUUUCUCUUUUCCUUUUCAUUCUCCAUCAAGAAUAAAUACAUUUAUCUUCUAAUGGGAUCCCCUUUGAUAAAAAGCAGUCUUCUGUCAUGCUGUUGCAGUUGCCAGAGUGUUGGAUGGUGAGAAACUCCAGGUUAAGUACUUUCUUUUAUCAAUGCUCCUUUUUAUAUGCAAAUCAUCCUGCCCGCCCAUCUAUUUACUGUUGCAGGUAUUCAGACAGGGCCUCAAACCGUGCCAGCCGCAGACCGCAGCCUGCCAUCCAGCGCAAGCGUGGGACUUGAAAUAGAUUUGAUUAGGAUUCAAAAAUACGCCUUUGAUCUGACGUUUGUUAGGCAAAUGCAGCCACAUGACAAUAUGCUUGAGAGGACGGAGUGAUUCUGCUGGCGUUUACAAAAUAAUGGACAAUCUAAUUGUACCGUAAUGCCGAGUGUGCGCAGUUAUUAAUUUGCGAGGUGCAGUGAGCCAGAAACUUGGUUCAUUUGCAUCCGGUUGUGACGGGUUGAGAGAGGCAGUGGUUUGGCCUCAAAUAAAUAUGCUGUUGCUUGUAGAUAAUCAGCACUCUGUUGCUGUGUGGCACUAACUCUCUACCUGCUGUCACCAUGAAUAGACUGUCAUUCUGUCAAUAAAUAGGAAAUGCAGGGCGGGAAUUUCCAAUAAUUAGAUUUAGCAUUACAUAGUAGGAUGCUUAUUGCUCACUCGAAUUCUGCAAAUUCAAUCCCAGUGAACUGAUUUAGUCUUUCUGUUGGGAAAAAAAAAAAAACUGGUUUGCAGCUGCAGUCGAGGAAAAAGAGGCAAAAAUGCUGUCAGGGCUAAACAUAGAAAACCCAACGUAUCAAAGCGUAAUCAUUACAGCAAUCUCACUGCUCCCAUUACAGCGUCUUUAAAUCUGACACUUCUGCUUUUAUCCAGUCACUCGCUAAAGUGCACGGCAGACACACCAGAAAUGAGCUGAUGUCAUUUUAAAUGUUGAGUCAUACACCCAAAAGACCUCGAUGACCCAGAUCAAGCCCAUCAUGCAUUAUUUAAACCGUGGGGAAAAGUGUCAUUUGAGAGUUAACCCAUUUUCUGGAAUUAAAAUCACAGAUGGGGACUUGAAUUUGACGACACAUAUAGAUUUGUUAGCAGACUCUGAUUCCAAGAACUAUUAUAUGGUGGCACUGCAGGGAGCUAUUUUAUCUUUCAUUAAUCCGAGGCCCGCUACAAUGAUUGGACCAAAUAAGCCACUCAACAUUCAUUAUUAACUACAUUACACUCUUUUCUCUGAUGAGCUGUAAUUCUACUUGCAUGGGCACAGCUGGAGGGCAAGCACAAAGCUUUUAACCUAGCUAACGCCAUGCUAGUUGGAAUUUGCAGUGGGGAGUCUAUUAAAGGAAGUCUUCUACAUAGGUAAACACUGUGAGAUUAGUAGCAGUCGGCUAACUCGCAUAAUUAAAUUGUUGUCAUAGCACAAUGACAGUCCGUGUCCUUUUUUCCCUUCUCAGCCAUGGAUAAACAAGAGCCUAUUUUUUGCUCUUUUGGGCGUGGGCUCAGGCUGACUCAAAAAGCUCCCCCUUACUUUAAGCCUUUUCAGGCUGUAAUUGACAACACUUGAUGCUCAGGCUUUGGAAAAGUCCACGGAUUUCCCUGGAUUAGAGUGUGGGGGCCAAGGCUGCUCCAUCCUCUGCAACUGGAUUAAAUCACUUGAUUGGUAAGGAAGCUAAAGAGACGGCUGUGGCGGAUUGCCAAGAUAUAAGGUGCUUGCUCUGCAUCCGGGGGUGAAAGGUUAACCGCGCCGUCCAGAAGAGCUUCAAACCGCUUGGCCUUGACAGUGCGGGUCAGAGGAUGGCAGCCGUAAAUCACACGCCAAUGAACUGCUAUCAAAGUGCAGCAUCAGGAGACUUCUCUGACAGGUGGAAAAAAGCGCCUCCUCGCCAUAUUUUCAAAUGUUUUAUUACUUACGCAGAGGAAAGUCUCACAUAGGCUUUCCUCUCAGUGUAAAAAACACAAACACGUUACUCACACACAGAAGCCUCCUGCACAUACACAGCACAUGCUCGAAUACACCCAAGCCUCUUAUUUCCUAACUGUUCUCACUCAGCGGUCACACAUCCUUGACUUGUUUCUUCCACAUCAGUUCAUGGUGUCAUAGGCUCCCUCCCUCCCUCCCCCUCUCUCUCUUUCUCUUUCUUCCUCUCUCUCUUUCUAUCUAUCACACACUCACUCUUGCUGUAUCUUUCUCUGCACCACAGCAUCCCUGAGGCUUGAAGCUUUGAAUAGUUUGGGUGCAAAAGUGGAGUCUGCUUCAAAUCUCAUUUUAUGAUUCAUAAUGCAGUGGGUCCUUUAAAGUUCUAAUCCAUGAUUGGUUUAUAGAGGCAUCUCCACUGAAGGUCCAAUACGCAAUUUCUGCCUCAUGCAAAAGAGUCCACACAGGGUGCAUUCAGUUCUCAGUGAGGACGCUACGCUCCACGGUGGUGUGCUUUAAAAGGGAUGGCCAGUGUGGUUCAGUACGAGUUACUUAAUAAGGAUUAAAGCUUACCAGAACCUUCAACAACACUGAGGGGUUAUGUGGUCAGUUUGUUUGCAAGCAGAAUAUCUUAAUAUACUCCACUACAUUUCAAUAAUAGAUGGAAGAAAUACAAAACAUGUGUAGGUUGAUGCUGUCGUUGUGGUGAGCUCCAUAGUUCGACAGAUACAGACUUGACGGUUCAUUCGUGACCUUAAGAAUUGCCGUUCGACCCUGAAAUAUCUUAUCACACGGUCCUUUUACUCUGUCUUUUUGAAGUUUUAAGCCACAUAACACAGCCAAACUUCGCUCCAUUUCAAGGUGAUGAUUUUAUUAUGACUUUUAUCCAACACAUAAAAAUCCUGCAAUGUCAUAAAAGAUGACAGUUUGUAAAAUUUUUAUGCAGCAGAUUCUUGCAGCCUCAUCUACAUUUUAUAACUGUCAAAUUAUUUUCUUUUAAAGUGGGGAUUAAGUACUUAAUGUCAACACUUAAUAGCAAUAGACAUAUUGUUGAUUGCAUGUUUAAAGAAGGAGUAUGGAAAGAAAUCUUCACCUGUGUCGGAAUGAAGAUCUAAACCAAUAUAAAAAAAUGUGGCAGAGCUUUAACAGUCUGUAAAUUUACAUACACAGUUAAAGGCACAGUAAGGAACUUUUGGUUUGAGUCAGUUUUUGCACCCCUGUGAACAAAGAAGUCUAUUAAAUCUAGGAAUGUCCCGAUUUGAUAUUGAUAUCGAAUCGAAAAGUCCGAUAUCAGCAAAAAACCGAAUAUCGGAUUAUGUAGGCCUGCAUCCAAAAUCUCCAAUAUCAGCACUCCAAUACAAGCAGUCCAUUCCAGACUCCACUCUGGCAACUCUAUCUAGCAUGCAAAGC
RNAcentral lists this long non-coding RNA (3608 nucleotides) under Xyrichtys novacula (pearly razorfish). Lineage: Eukaryota; Metazoa; Chordata; Actinopteri; Labriformes; Labridae. The record is from RNAcentral.